Molecule: ribosomal RNA, 318 nt
Filed under: Triticum aestivum (bread wheat)
Lineage: Eukaryota; Viridiplantae; Streptophyta; Magnoliopsida; Poales; Poaceae
Description: partial small subunit ribosomal RNA
Source: RNAcentral
AUGAAGCAAAAAAUUAUCUUGGUUCCAGCAAAAAAAUACACCGGUUCCAACAAAAACAAAAAAUUGGUUCAGCAAAAAAUGCAUCAACAAAAAAUGGCCAUCCUCUCUUGCAGCUCCCCCAGUAACCGGUUGGAGCUCCGGCGUGCACGAUUGCAGCUCCCGACAUUCGAACAACGUUGGAUACAACACUCCUUGCUGCUGGAUGUAGCUUCCCUGGCGAGGCACCAACCUUGUAGCACAUACACCAGCUGGUUGCAGCAGACAAGAGCACCCGUUCCCGCAAAAAACGAAGAUGUUCAUAAAAACAAAAGGGGAUGA